This 361-nucleotide unclassified non-coding RNA is filed under the name Hevea brasiliensis (rubber tree). Lineage: Eukaryota; Viridiplantae; Streptophyta; Magnoliopsida; Malpighiales; Euphorbiaceae. The record is from RNAcentral.
GUGGUGGUACCCUUAACCCCAAUCACACGAGAUGGGGGUUUGGAUUUGGGUGUGACAUGUACCACAAUGAAACGCUUUGGCUCCCAACCAGCAGCAUAAACAGCAAGCUUCCACCGAUCAGCUAUCAACCUAACUGCAUCUCUCUUAUCCUUCAGCAUAGGGCAGAAAACAUGAAGCUUGAGACCAUUUAUCGAUCCUCUGUUCUUUCGCCAAGUACCAAGUACUUGCACCUCUCCUCCACGGCAAGCACCCAUCUUGGAUCACGUCUAUAGAGGUCUGCAAGUAGCUCCGUCACAGCAGUAUUCUCACCAAGAUGUAGGGCUUCCAAGUUAGGGGGGGUGAUGUCAAAAGCAUCAGCAAG